CUCCCGCUCGACCGAGCACGGUGAGGGAACUUCUCUAAGCCCCGCCUCUCCUUGCAACCUGUGUUGGCCUAAACUGCCCGGCAACUGUUUACGUCACACGACCAUGGCCCUCCCAGAAUGGACGAGAUUUACUAGACAACCCCGCCCACUAGGCUGAAAUUACCCUCGGCAGGUGCCACUUCUGAGCCCGGUGAGCUCUGGGGGAAAGGACCCAGGCGGGGCGGGGCAGGUGGUAAACUGAGCUCAGCGCCUGGCGCGCUUGCACUUCCUCUAGUUGCGCUCGCCCUCCAUCUUCCACCUCAGAAAGGCCACCGCUCCGAGCUGCAACUGCUAGUGCUUGGAGGGCGCUGUAUUCCACUCUGACUCAUCCUUGGGGGCGGACGUGGGAGCAUGGGGAAGUGGCGGGGCAACCAUAGGAAACAGAAAACUUAAGGGAGGAUAUGGCAUAUUUAGGACUGUGAAGUGUGCAAAUGCUGGUGAGCCAUUUGGUGCACUGAAAACAGGAGAGACCACAGUUAUAAAACACCACCUUUAUUAUAAAUACCAAGAAUCCAGAGUGUGUUUAUGGGCCAGCAUAUGCCUUUAGUCCUAUUGGAAAGUAUUCUUUCUGUAUGUUCUAAAGUUCUUCUCAUUUUCAGGGUUCUAUCCACAACAAACCUGGCUCUAAACCCAGUUACACUAAGGGGUUAUGAACUCUGUUUUCUUCCAAGAAAUCUGCAUUAUCAAGAGGAGCUUGGAGACGGGGUAACACUCGUGGCAGAAUUUCAGGCAUCCUUCUAGGAUGUCACUCCUCCUAGAAGCAGCUGUCUAUUGUGCAGCUCUGGUAACACCUUUGUUCCCAAAUUCUCCACUACAGAGGGCAGAAAAACAAGGGAGGGAGGUGGCAUGUGCAGGUCUGAGAAGGCUUUCAUUCUGGAGCACCUGACCCGUCAGCAGCCUGCAUCAUGUCCCAGUAGCGUCCGUUCCUCUCCAUGAGCUGCUGGUGGGUUCCUGCUUCACAGAUGGUGCCUCCUUCCAGAAAAAGGAUUUGGUCAGCCUGCUCCACCAAGCUGAGACACUGGGUGAUGAGAAGCACAGACCUAGAGCCCCGCUCAGGGCUUUUGUACAGGAGCUGCUCCACCUGAGAAAAGACACAGACUCUGUCAAGAACCCAGGGAGACACCUGUGUUUCCAGAGCAGGGGCAGAUCUCACCAGGAUCACUGCCACCUCUGCCAACAACCCCAAGGAGCUGAAGAUUCUUGUUCUGAGUGCUCCUCUGUCCAGCCUUUGAUUUGUUAAGGACUGUUUACAUGAGGUG
This 1298-nucleotide long non-coding RNA is filed under the name Lynx pardinus (Iberian lynx). Lineage: Eukaryota; Metazoa; Chordata; Mammalia; Carnivora; Felidae. The record is from RNAcentral.